AAUGAACGUUGGCGGCGUGGAUUAGGCAUGCGAGUCGAGCGAGAACCGUAGCGAUACGGGGACAGCGGCGAAAGGGACAGUAACGGGUAGAUUAUCUGCCCUCAGGUUUGGGAUAGCUGCGGGAAACUGCAAGUAAUACCAAAUAAUAUCUCCGGAUCAAAGGUGUGAUUCCGCCUGAGGAUGAGUCUGCCUCCUAUUAGCUUGUUGGUGGGGUAACGGCCUACCAAGGCAUUGAUGGGUAGCGGGUGUGAGAGCACGACCCGCGUCAUUGGGACUGAGACACUGCCCAGACACCUACGGGUGGCUGCAGUCGAGAAUCUUCGGCAAUGGACGCAAGUCUGACCGAGCGACGCCGCGUGUGGGAUGAAGGCCUUCGGGUUGUAAACCACUGUCAGAGGGGAUGAAAUGCAGGUGGGUACUCCCAUUUGUUUGACAUAGCCUCAGAGGAAGUACGGGCUAAAUUCGUGCCAGCCGCCGCAGUAA
This 483-nucleotide ribosomal RNA is filed under the name uncultured bacterium. Its description in RNAcentral is "partial 16S ribosomal RNA". It matches the Rfam family "Bacterial small subunit ribosomal RNA", at positions 29 to 523 of the family's 1533-position model. The record is from RNAcentral.